UACGGAAGGCAGCAGUGGGGAAUAUUGCACAAUGGGCGCAAGCCUGAUGCAGCCAUGCCGCGUGUAUGAAGAGGGCCUUCGGGUUGUAAAGUACUUUCAGUCGUGAGGAAGGUGUUAAGGUUAAUAACCUUAGCAAUUGACGUUAGCGACAGAAGAAGCACCGGCUAACUCCGUGCCAGCAGCCGCGGUAAUACGGAGGGUGCGAGCGUUAAUCGGAAUUACUGGGCGUAAAGGGCACGCAGGCGGUUAAUUAAGUUGGAUGUGAAAUCCCCGGGCUUAACCUGGGAAUGGCAUUCAAGACUGGUUAGCUAGAGUCUUGUAGAGGGGGUAGAAUUCCGAUGUGUAGCGGUGAAAUGCGUAGAGAUGUGGAGGAAUACCGGUGGCGAAGGCGGCCCCUGGACAAAGGACUGACGCUCAUGUGCGAAAGCGUGGGGAGCAAAC
This 441-nucleotide ribosomal RNA is filed under the name uncultured bacterium. Its description in RNAcentral is "bacterial SSU rRNA". It matches the Rfam family "Bacterial small subunit ribosomal RNA", at positions 340 to 773 of the family's 1533-position model. The record is from RNAcentral.